RNAcentral lists this ribosomal RNA (226 nucleotides) under uncultured bacterium. Its description in RNAcentral is "partial 16S ribosomal RNA". It matches the Rfam family "Bacterial small subunit ribosomal RNA", at positions 538 to 763 of the family's 1533-position model. The record is from RNAcentral.
GCGUUAUCCGGAAUGAUUGGGCGUAAAGCGUCCGCAGGUGGCAGUUCAAGUCUGCUGUCAAAGACCGGGGCUUAACUUCGGAAAGGCAGUGGAAACUGAACAGCUAGAGUAUGGUAGGGGCAGAGGGAAUUCCUGGUGUAGCGGUGAAAUGCGUAGAGAUCAGGAAGAACAUCGGUGGCGAAGGCGCUCUGCUGGACCAUAACUGACACUCAGGGACGAAAGCUAG